ACUUAAAUAGCUUAUAUUUAGAGCAUAACACUGAAGAUGUUAGGGAAGUAUUUACUUUUAGGUA
RNAcentral lists this transfer RNA (64 nucleotides) under Pholidoptera griseoaptera (dark bush-cricket). Its description in RNAcentral is "tRNA-Phe". Lineage: Eukaryota; Metazoa; Arthropoda; Insecta; Orthoptera; Tettigoniidae. The record is from RNAcentral.